AGUCUGGAGUGAAAGGCGACGGCUCAACCGUCGACGCGCUUCGGGAACUGGGGGACUUGAGGGCAGGAGAGGCGAGCGGAAUUCCCGGUGUAGCGGUGAAAUGCGUAGAGAUCGGGAAGAACACCAGUGGCGAAGGCGGCUCGCUGGACUGGCCCUGACGCUGACGCGCGAAAGCGUGGGGAGCGAACGGGAUUAGAUACCCCGGUAGUCCACGCCGUAAACGAUGGGCACUAGGUGUGGGAGGUAUCGACCCCUCCCGUGCCGGAGUUAACACACUAAGUGCCCCGCCUGGGGAGUACGGCCGCAAGGUUGAAACUCAAGGGAAUUGACGGGGGCCCGCACAAGCAGUGGAGCAUGUGGUUUAAUUCGACGCAACGCGAAGAACCUUACCCGGGCUUGACAUCCCCGGAACACCCGAGAGAUCGGGUGGCUCUACGGAGCCGGGAGACAGGUGCUGCAUGGUUGUCGUCAGCUCGUGUCGUGAGAUGUUGGGUUAAGUCCCGCAACGAGCGCAACCCUUGUCCCGUGUUACCAGCGUAAAGGCGGGGACUCACGGGAGACUGCCGGUGACAAACCGGAGGAAGGUGGGGAUGACGUCAAAUCAUCAUGGCCCUUAUGUCCGGGGCUACACACGUGCUACAAUGGCCGGCACAGCGGGAUGCGAAGGGGCGACCCGGAGCGAAUCCCUGAAAGCCGGUCCCAGUUCGGAUCGCAGGCUGAAACCCGCCUGCGUGAAGCCGGAAUUGC
This 747-nucleotide ribosomal RNA is filed under the name uncultured Bacillota bacterium. Its description in RNAcentral is "bacterial SSU rRNA". It matches the Rfam family "Bacterial small subunit ribosomal RNA", at positions 586 to 1335 of the family's 1533-position model. Lineage: Bacteria; Bacillati; Bacillota. The record is from RNAcentral.